Molecule: ribosomal RNA, 492 nt
Filed under: uncultured bacterium
Lineage: Bacteria
Description: partial 16S ribosomal RNA
Rfam family: Bacterial small subunit ribosomal RNA
Source: RNAcentral
AGUGAACGCUGGCGGCAGGCCUAAUACAUGCAAGUCGAACGACAGCACAGUAAGCUCUUUCUCUUACGGUUGGCGAGUGGCGGAUGGGUGACGCAUACAUCGCCAUCUACUUUUUCUGGGGGGAUAACGUAGGGCAAGUUACGCUAACACCGCAUAUGUCGUACCGCUUAAAUCAGUAGAUCUUCGGACCUUUCGUGUCUGUAUUAGCCGAUGUCGGAUUAGGUAGUUUGCUGGGUAAAGGCCCACCAAGGCGACGCACCGGAGCUGGUCUGAGAGGAUGGUCAGCCACACUGGAACUGAGACACGGUCCCAACUCCUAAGGGAGGCAGCAGUGGGGAAUAUUGGACAAUGGGCGGAAGCCUGAUCCAGCCAUACCGGGGGGGUGAAGGAAGCCUUCGGGUUGUAAAACCCUUUUGAUGGGAAAGAAAAAAAGCAGGAUAAAACCAUGCUGUUCUGACGGUACCCAAAGAAGAAGCACCGGCUAACUUCGUG